UGGGGAAUAUUGCACAAUGGGCGAAAGCCUGAUGCAGCAACGCCGCGUGAGUGAUGAAGGCCUUCGGGUUGUAAAGCUCUGUCCUUUGGGACGAUAAUGACGGUACCAAAGGAGGAAGCCACGGCUAACUACGUGCCAGCAGCCGCGGUAAUACGUAGGUGGCGAGCGUUGUCCGGAUUUACUGGGCGUAAAGGAUGCGUAGGCGGAUGUUUAAGUGAGAUGUGAAAUACCCGGGCUUAACUUGGGUGCUGCAUUUCAAACUGGAUAUCUAGAGUGCGGGAGAGGAGAAUGGAAUUCCUAGUGUAGCGGUGAAAUGCGUAGAGAUUAGGAAGAACACCAGUGGCGAAGGCGACUUUCUGGACCGUAACUGACGCUGAGGCAUGAAAGCGUGGGGAGCAAACA
RNAcentral lists this ribosomal RNA (402 nucleotides) under uncultured bacterium. RNAcentral's name for it is "bacterial SSU rRNA". It matches the Rfam family "Bacterial small subunit ribosomal RNA", at positions 355 to 774 of the family's 1533-position model. The record is from RNAcentral.